This 173-nucleotide ribosomal RNA is filed under the name uncultured bacterium. Its description in RNAcentral is "partial 16S ribosomal RNA". It matches the Rfam family "Bacterial small subunit ribosomal RNA", at positions 335 to 502 of the family's 1533-position model. The record is from RNAcentral.
UUUCCUACGGGAGGCAGCAGUAGGGAAUCUUCGGCAAUGGGGGGAACCCUGACCGAGCAACGCCGCGUGAGUGAAGAAGGUUUUCGGAUCGUAAAGCUCUGUUGUAAGAGAAGAACGUGUGUGAGAGUGGAAACUCACACAUGGGAGUAACUACCAGAAAGGACGCAUUACGG